ACGGGAGGCAGCAGUGGGGAAUAUUGGACAAUGGGGGAAACCCUGAUCCAGCGACGCCGCGUGAGUGAAGAAGUAUUUCGGUAUGUAAAGCUCUAUCAGCAAGGAAGAAAAUGACGGUACUUGACUAAGAAGCCCCGGCUAACUACGUGCCAGCAGCCGCGGUAAUACGUAGGGGGCAAGCGUUAUCCGGAUUUAUUGGGUUUAAAGGGUGCGUAGGCUGUGCGACAAGUCAGGGGUGAAAGCCCGCCGCCCAACGGUGGAACUGCCUUUGAUACUGUCGCGCUGGAAUACGGAUGCCGUGGGAGGAAUGAGUAGUGUAGCGGUGAAAUGCAUAGAUAUUACUCAGAACACCGAUUGCGAAGGCAUCUCACGAAUCCGUCAUUGACGCUGAGGCACGAAAGCGUGGGGAUCAAACAGGAUUAGAUACCCUGGUA
RNAcentral lists this ribosomal RNA (434 nucleotides) under uncultured Lachnospiraceae bacterium. RNAcentral describes it as "partial 16S ribosomal RNA". It matches the Rfam family "Bacterial small subunit ribosomal RNA", at positions 341 to 792 of the family's 1533-position model. Lineage: Bacteria; Bacillati; Bacillota; Clostridia; Lachnospirales; Lachnospiraceae. The record is from RNAcentral.